RNAcentral lists this long non-coding RNA (1121 nucleotides) under Delphinapterus leucas (beluga whale). RNAcentral's name for it is "lncRNA (ENSDLEG00000004082.1)". The record is from RNAcentral. Lineage: Eukaryota; Metazoa; Chordata; Mammalia; Artiodactyla; Monodontidae.
AUGACAAUAUCCACACCAGUGAUUACUGUGCUUUCGGUACCUUCGCCCUCGGGGCCUUCAGCGGAGGCAUUUCCACCAAUGAGCGAGUCAUCAAUGUUACCCUCUGUCCUACUGACCAUGGCUGAUGAGGUCCCAGUAGAUGAUCAUGAUGGCGACUGGAGGGAGACAACGGUGGCACUAGCUUACGAGCACGGAGCUCAGAGCAAGCGCGGUGCAGCCGGAGCGGCGCUCGGGGGAGGGGGGAGCGGGCGGAAAAGGCCGACUCUGCCGCUCCCCAACCUCAUAUAGAGGGCACCUCUCUUUCUCUCUUGAUGAAAUGCCAGCGCCCAGUCCAAUACACUUCCAACCACGCUGCACCCAGACAACCAUUCACUUGUGCAUUUGUAGAACAGUAUUCACUAAAUUACAUGAGAUAGUCAGUACUUUAUUACAAAGCAGUUUUUUAUGUUAGAUGAUUUUGUCCAUCUGUAGGCUAGUGUAAGUGUUCUGAGCACAUUUAAAGUAGGCUCGGCUCGGCUGUGAUGUUCAUUCAGUAGGUUAGGUGUAUUAAAUGCAUUUUUGACUUACAAUAUUUUCAAUUUAUGAUGGAUUUAUUGAGACAUAACCCCAUCAUAAGUUGAGGAAGAUGUGUAAAGCUUUAAAGGAAAUUCAGAUUCUUGAGUCCCACUCUAAACAAAGUCAAUUAGAAAGUCUUGGGUGAAGCCUUAUAUGUAUAUAAAUUUAAAAAUAUAACAAAUAUAAACAGUUAUAUUUGUAGCUAUAACACCGUCCUUCAAAUUCUGAUCAUCAGUUAGGUUUGGGAGGUUCUGGUUUCAGUAACUUAUCCAAUGUCACACAGAACCCUAAAUAGAGCCAGAAAUGAACUCAAAUCUUAUAAGUCCAAGUUAAAUGCUUUUCACUGGACUUUUGCUGUCCUUUUACUGAUUACAUAUGAUGGGGUAGGAUGGAAAAGUGGAGAAAAAACAGCAAUUUCAAUUAAAACUUUUUACCAUGUUCUGUUUCAUGGUUUUAAGAUUAAAAGAGCUAAUAUCUUAGUGAACUUAGAACAAUAUCUGGCACAUGGCAAGUACAUGUAAGUGAUAAAUGUUAAAUGAAUAGGUUAAAUGUUAAGUGAAUGCUGU